This 253-nucleotide ribosomal RNA is filed under the name uncultured bacterium. Its description in RNAcentral is "partial 16S ribosomal RNA". It matches the Rfam family "Bacterial small subunit ribosomal RNA", at positions 524 to 776 of the family's 1533-position model. The record is from RNAcentral.
UACGUAGGUGGCAAGCGUUGUCCGGAAUCAUUGGGCGUAAAGAGCGUGUAGGCGGCCUUUUAAGUCCUGCGUGAAAUCCUGCGGCUCAACCGCAGACGGUCGUGGGAAACUGGAAGGCUAGAGUGCGGGAGAGGAGAGUGGAAUUCCCGGUGUAGCGGUGAAAUGCGCAGAUAUCGGGAAGAACACCCGUGGCGAAGGCGGCUCUCUGGAACGCAACUGACGCUGAGACGCGAAAGCGUGGGGAGCAAACAGG